This 369-nucleotide transfer-messenger RNA is filed under the name Arachnia propionica. RNAcentral's name for it is "Pseudopropionibacterium propionicum transfer-messenger RNA". It matches the Rfam family "transfer-messenger RNA". Rfam says of the family: Bacterial tmRNA, also known as 10Sa RNA or SsrA, is named for its dual tRNA and mRNA-like properties. Its role is to liberate the mRNA from a stalled ribosome. To accomplish this part of the tmRNA is used as a reading frame that ends in a translation stop signal. The record is from RNAcentral. Lineage: Bacteria; Bacillati; Actinomycetota; Actinomycetes; Propionibacteriales; Propionibacteriaceae. RNAcentral also lists the same sequence under 1 other name.
GGGGAUGACUGGUUUCGACUUGGACGGUUGUUCGAGGAGAAGCGGGCCGAGGACCCACACUCAUCUCGUGAACGAUGUGUGGAAACCAACAAGUGCCAAGAACAAUCGCACUGACUUCGCUCUCGCUGCCUGAUCAGCGAUCGAAGGGUCACGCCCGGGUUUGCCUUCGACCCGGUGCCUGGCCUCAUUCCAGAAGGCUUGCUGGACGACCUGCGUCGCAGGGGUCGUUCGGGACUUCACUGCGACUGGGCCCGGCUGCAACUUGCUGACGUGAGUGCAGGGGCUGAGUGGACCGACUAGUCAGCUGCGCCCGGAGAAGCCCUGGUUCGCCUUUCAAGGACGCGGGUUCAAUUCCCGCCAUCUCCACCC